AAGAAAGGAGAGAAGGGCACAUGAAGGAUGCCUGGGCUCUCGGAGGCGACGAAGGACGUGAUAAGCUGCGAUAAGCUGCGGACAGGAGCAAAUAUCCAUCGACCCGCAGAUUUCCGAAUGGGGCAACCCGUGCGGUCAAGCCGCACAUCCCGCUGAUGCGGGAGGCGAACCCGGGGAACUGAAACAUCUCAGUACCCGGAGGAAGAGAAAAUAAACCAAUGAUUGCGCCAGUAGUGGCGAGCGAACGCGCAAGAGCCCAAACCGGCGGUGUUUCGGCACCGACCGGGGUUGUAGGACCGCCAAUAAAUGGACAGCGAUAAGUUAGCCGAAGCCUCUGGAAAGGGGCGCCAUAGCGGGUGAAAGCCCCGUAGGCGAAAACGGACAGCUGACAGAGGCGGCACCUGAGUAAGCCGGGACACGAGAAAUCCUGGCCGAAUCCGCGGGGACCAUCCCGCAAGGCUAAACACUACCGAGAGACCGAUAGCGAACCAGUACCGUGAGGGAAAGGUGAAAAGAACCUCGAACAGAGGAG
RNAcentral lists this ribosomal RNA (532 nucleotides) under Duncaniella sp. RNAcentral's name for it is "partial 23S ribosomal RNA". It matches the Rfam family "Bacterial large subunit ribosomal RNA", at positions 1 to 538 of the family's 2925-position model. Lineage: Bacteria; Pseudomonadati; Bacteroidota; Bacteroidia; Bacteroidales; Muribaculaceae. The record is from RNAcentral.